This 450-nucleotide ribosomal RNA is filed under the name uncultured bacterium. RNAcentral describes it as "partial 16S ribosomal RNA". It matches the Rfam family "Bacterial small subunit ribosomal RNA", at positions 354 to 796 of the family's 1533-position model. The record is from RNAcentral.
GUCGAGAAUAAUUCACAAUGGACGAAAGUCUGAUGGUGCAACGCCGCGUGGAGGAUGACGGUCUUCGGAUUGUAAACUCCUGUCAUCUGGGAGUAAGACCUGACGGUGAAUAGCCGGCAGGGUUGAUAGUACCAGAAGAGGAAGGGACGGCUAACUUCGUGCCAGCAGCCGCGGUAAUACGAAGGUCCCAAGCGUUGUUCGGCAUCACUGGGCGUAAAGGGAGCGUAGGCGGCGUGGUAAGUCAGAUGUGAAAUCCCGGGGCUCAACCCCGGAACUGCAUCCGAUACUGCCAUGCUUGAGGGUUGGAGAGGUAGCUGGAAUUCUCGGUGUAGCAGUGAAAUGCGUGGAUAUCGAGAGGAACACUCGUGGCGAAGGCGAGCUACUGGACAACAUCUGACGCUGAGGCUCGAAGGCUAGGGGAGCAAAAGGGAUUAGAUACCCGUGUAGUCC